This is a non-coding RNA of Cellulomonas sp. 73-145, 367 nucleotides long. The record is from Rfam. NCBI's taxonomy places the organism in Bacteria, Bacillati, Actinomycetota, Actinomycetes, Micrococcales, Cellulomonadaceae.
GGGGGUGAUCGGUUUCGACGGUGGUCGCCGAUCCAGGGGAAGCGGGCCGAGGACGCACGGUUAUCUCGUUAACGAUCCGCGCAAACCCAUAGGUGCCAAUACAUCGCGCACCGACUUCGCCCUCGCCGCCUGAGCGAGCUGUGAAGUCCGUCAGCCCGAGCUAGCUUCCGACUCGGUUCCUGGCGUCAUCUAGGGAGCCACUGCUCACAGCGUUCGUCAGUGACGUUGUGGGGACUUUCAGCUGACUGAGCCUGUCCACGACUUGUCUGCGUGAUCGUGGGGGCUGAGAAAAGCGCAGCAGAAUGCGCCCGGAGAAGCCCUGGUUCUGUGUCAUCGGACGCGGGUUCGAUUCCCGCCACCUCCACCA